Molecule: ribosomal RNA, 301 nt
Filed under: uncultured bacterium
Lineage: Bacteria
Description: partial 16S ribosomal RNA
Rfam family: Bacterial small subunit ribosomal RNA
Source: RNAcentral
CAGCACCGCGGUAAAACGAAGGGUGCAAGCGUUACUCGGAAUUACUGGGCGUAGAGCGUGCGUAGGUGGUGGUUUAAGUCCGUUGUGAAAGCCCUGGGCUCAACCUGGGAAUUGCAGUGGAUACUGGGUCACUAGAGUGUGGUAGAGGAUAGUGGAAUUUCCGGUGUAGCAGUGAAAUGCGUAGAGAUCGGAAGGAACAUCUGUGGCGAAGGCGACUACCUGGACUGAUACUGACACUGAGGUGCGAAAGCGUGGGGAGCAAACAGGAUUAGAUACCCCCGUAGUCCCUGUCUCUUAUACA